CAUUAAGAGUAUGAUCCUAGCUCAGGAUGAACGCUGGCGGUGUGCUUAACACAUGCAAGUCAUACGGGGAAGUUUUACUUUUCAGUGGCGGACGGGUGAGUAACGCGUGAGAAUUUGCCUUUCGGAAGAGACUACCACUGCGAGAUCAGUAUUAAUGUUCUAUAAUGCUUUGAAAAAGAUGCUUUUUUUGAUUGAUCGAACUGCAGAAGACUUCUUCUGUGGCACUUUCAGAGAAAAAGUGGUUUUUUUCAUUAGAAGUGAAAGAAGAAAUUCGCCGAAAGAGAAGCUCGCGUCUGAUUAGCUAGUUGGUGGAGUAAAAGCCUACCAAGGCGACGAUCAGUAGCUGGUUUGAGAGGAUGAUCAGCCACACUGGAACUGAGAUACGGUCCAGACUCCUACGGGAGGCAGCAGUGAGGAAUAUUCUGCAAUGGGCGAAAGCCUGACAGAGCAACACCGCGUGAGGGAAGAAAGCCUACGGGUCGUAAACCUCUUUUCUCAAGGAGGAAGUUCUGACGUUACUUGAGGAAUAAGUAUCGGCAAACCCUGUGCCAGCAGCCGCGGUAAGACAGGGGAUGCAAGCGUUAUCCGGAAUUAUUGGGCGUAAAGCGUCUGCAGGUGGAGAAGGAAGUCUUUUGUUAAACCUCUGGGCUUAACCCAGAAUCUGCAAAAGAAACUCUUUUUCUUGAGGAUGGUAGAGGUAAAGGGAACUUCCAGUGGAGCGGUGAAAUGUGUAGAGAUUGGAAAGAACACCAAGGGCGAAAGCACUUUACUGGGCCAUAUCUGACACUGAGAGACGAAAGCUAGGGGAGCAAACGGGAUUAGAGACCCCGGUAGUCCUAGCCGUAAACGAUGAAUACUAGAUGUUGCCUUAAAGGCCUCUCAGAAAAAAAUUCUAGAAGAGGCAUUUAUAGGCGGUGUCGUAGCUAACGCGUUAAGUAUUCCGCCUGGGGAGUACGUUCGCAAGAAUGAAACUCAAAGGAAUUGACGGGGGCCUGCACAAGCGGUGGAGCAUGUGGUUUAAUUCGAUGCAACACGAAGAACCUUACCAAGAUUUGACAUGAAGAGAAGUUUUUUGAAAGAAAGAUGUGCUACGGCCUCUUACACAGGUGGUGCAUGGCUGUCGUCAGCUCGUGUCGUGAGAUGUUGGGUUAAGUCCCGCAACGAGCGCAACCCUUGUCUUUAGUUACUUUUCUAAAGAGACUGCCGAUUAUAAGUCGGAGGAAGGCGAGGAUGAGGUCAAGUCAUCAUGCCUCUUACAUCUUGGGCUACACACGUGCUACAAUGGAAAGGACAAAAAGUUGCAAAUUCGUGAGAAUGAGCUAAUCUCAAAACCUCUUCGUAGUUCGGAUUGUAGGCUGCAACUCGCCUACAUGAAGGUGGAAUCGCUAGUAAUCGCAGGUCAGCUAUACUGCGGUGAAUCCGUUCUCAGGCCUUGUACAUACCGCCCGUCACACCCUGGGAGCUGGUUAUACCCAAAGCUCUUGUAAAAGAAUGAAGGUAGGAUUGGUGACUAAGGUGAAGUCGUAACAAGGUAGCUGUACUGGAAGGUGCGGCUGGAUUACCUCCUAUC
Molecule: ribosomal RNA, 1570 nt
Filed under: Pedobacter sp.
Lineage: Bacteria; Pseudomonadati; Bacteroidota; Sphingobacteriia; Sphingobacteriales; Sphingobacteriaceae
Description: bacterial SSU rRNA
Rfam family: Bacterial small subunit ribosomal RNA
Source: RNAcentral